RNAcentral lists this ribosomal RNA (102 nucleotides) under Staphylococcus aureus. Its description in RNAcentral is "partial 16S ribosomal RNA". It matches the Rfam family "Bacterial small subunit ribosomal RNA", at positions 1433 to 1533 of the family's 1533-position model. The record is from RNAcentral. Lineage: Bacteria; Bacillati; Bacillota; Bacilli; Caryophanales; Staphylococcaceae.
GAGUAACCUUUUAGGAGCUAGCCGUCGAAGGUGGGACAAAUGAUUGGGGUGAAGUCGUAACAAGGUAGCCGUAUCGGAAGGUGCGGCUGGAUCACCUCCUUU